This 433-nucleotide ribosomal RNA is filed under the name uncultured Ruminococcus sp. Its description in RNAcentral is "partial 16S ribosomal RNA". It matches the Rfam family "Bacterial small subunit ribosomal RNA", at positions 341 to 792 of the family's 1533-position model. The record is from RNAcentral. Lineage: Bacteria; Bacillati; Bacillota; Clostridia; Eubacteriales; Oscillospiraceae.
ACGGAAGGCAGCAGUGGGGAUAUUGCACAAUGGGCGCAAGCCUGAUGCUGCGAUGCCGCGUGAGGGAAGAAGGUUUUCGGAUUGUAAACCUCUGUCAUCGGGGACGAUAAUGACUGUACCCGAGAAGGAAGCUCCGGCUAACUACGUGCCAGCAGCCGCGGUAAUACGUAGGGAGCGAGCGUUAUCCGGAAUUACUGGGUGUAAAGGGAGUGUAGGCGGGACUGUAAGUCAGAUGUGAAAUAUACCGGCUCAACUGGUAGACUGCAUUUGAAACUGCGGUUCUUGAGUGAAGUAGAGGUAAGCGGAAUUCCUAGUGUAGCGGUGAAAUGCGUAGAUAUUAGGAGGAACAUCAGUGGCGAAGGCGGCUUACUGGGCUUUAACUGACGCUGAGGCUCGAAAGCGUGGGGAGCAAACAGGAUUAGAUACCCUGGUA